This 301-nucleotide ribosomal RNA is filed under the name uncultured bacterium. RNAcentral's name for it is "partial 16S ribosomal RNA". It matches the Rfam family "Bacterial small subunit ribosomal RNA", at positions 509 to 809 of the family's 1533-position model. The record is from RNAcentral.
CAGUCGCCGCGGGAAUACGGAGGGUGCAAGCGUUAAUCGGAAUUACUGGGCGUAAAGCGUGCGUAGGCGGCUUUUUAAGUCGGAUGUGAAAUCCCUGAGCUUAACUUAGGAAUUGCAUUCGAUACUGGGAAGCUAGAGUAUGGGAGAGGAUGGUAGAAUUCCAGGUGUAGCGGUGAAAUGCGUAGAGAUCUGGAGGAAUACCGAUGGCGAAGGCAGCCAUCUGGCCUAAUACUGACGCUGAGGUACGAAAGCAUGGGGAGCAAACAGGAUUAGAUACCCCCGUAGUCCCUGUCUCUUAUAA